CCUACGGGAGGCAGCAGUGGGGAAUAUUGCACAAUGGGGGAAACCCUGAUGCAGCGACGCCGCGUGAGUGAAGAAGGAAUUCGGUAUGUAAAGCUCUAUCAGCAGGGAAGAAAAUGACGGUACCUGAGUAAGAAGCCCCGGCUAACUACGUGCCAGCAGCCGCGGUAAUACGUAGGGGGCAAGCGUUAUCCGGAUUUACUGGGUGUAAAGGGAGCGUAGACGGCAUUGCACGUCUGGAGUGAAAGGCGGGGGCUCAACCCCCGGACUGCUCUGGAAACUGUACGGCUGGAGUGCAGUAGCGGUGCGUGGAAUUCCUAGUGUAGCGGUUCAAUGCGUAGAUAUUAGGAGGAACCCCAGUGGCGAAGGCGGCUUACUGGACUGUACCUGACGUUGCGGCUCGAACGCGUGGGUAGCAAACAGGAUUAGAUACCCUAGUAGUC
Molecule: ribosomal RNA, 440 nt
Filed under: uncultured bacterium
Lineage: Bacteria
Description: partial 16S ribosomal RNA
Rfam family: Bacterial small subunit ribosomal RNA
Source: RNAcentral